Molecule: long non-coding RNA, 212 nt
Organism: Rhagoletis zephyria (snowberry fruit fly)
Lineage: Eukaryota; Metazoa; Arthropoda; Insecta; Diptera; Tephritidae
Source: RefSeq, a predicted model, not a curated record
UCAAGACGAUCAGUACAAGGCCGGAAUAACACUUGAGUUACGAUUGCAAAACGAAAACCAUAAUUUAAGAGAUGUAGGCGUGAAGCAAGAACAACAUAGGCCAGUUUCGUUGAGAUGAACAAAGUUCCUUCAGUACCUACAAUUUUCAUCUCUCCUUCAUAGCUUUCUAUAUCCAUAUCUAUACGUAGCACCAAUACAAGGACCGAUAUUUA